Molecule: ribosomal RNA, 460 nt
Filed under: uncultured bacterium
Lineage: Bacteria
Description: partial 16S ribosomal RNA
Rfam family: Bacterial small subunit ribosomal RNA
Source: RNAcentral
CCUACGGGAGGCAGCAGUGAGGAAUAUUGGUCAAUGGGCGCGAGCCUGAACCAGCCAAGUCGCGUGAGGGAGGACGGCCCUACGGGUUGUAAACCUCUUUUGCCGGGGAGCAACGGGCGCCACGUGUGGCGUCACUGAGAGUACCCGGAGAAAAAGAAUCGGCUAACUCCGUGCCAGCAGCCGCGGUAAUACGGGGGAUGCGAGGGUUAUCCGGAUUUAUUGGGUUUAAAGGGUGCGUAGGCGGAUCGUUAAGUCAGUGGUCAAAUUGAGGGGCUCAACCCCUUCCCGCCUUUGAACCUGGCGUUCGUGAGUGGGAGAGAAGUAUGCGGAAUGCGUGGUGUAGCGGUGAAAUGCAUAGAUAUCACGCAGAACCCCGAUUGCGAAGGCAGCAUGCCGGCUUCCGACUGACGCUGAAGCACGAAAGCGUGGGGAUCGAACAGGAUUAGAUACCCCAGUAGUC